This 211-nucleotide unclassified non-coding RNA is filed under the name Hevea brasiliensis (rubber tree). Lineage: Eukaryota; Viridiplantae; Streptophyta; Magnoliopsida; Malpighiales; Euphorbiaceae. The record is from RNAcentral.
AUUCUUCGGUGAAGAGGAACUCCGGAGAGGUUGGGAGCUGGUAGAGGUUCUGGAUUGGAAUGUUUAGAUCUUGAUAAGGGUUGUAGAGGCGGCCCUGUGGGGAUUGGGUGUGGUGCGGCUCGUGAUCUGAACCAGAGCGAGCCAUUUUAGUUAGGGUUAAGGUCAGGUAGAGGUGGAAUCUGGUUGCAGAGAGCCUUAAGAGUUUUUUUUU